This 1465-nucleotide ribosomal RNA is filed under the name marine metagenome. RNAcentral's name for it is "bacterial LSU rRNA". It matches the Rfam family "Bacterial large subunit ribosomal RNA", at positions 888 to 2414 of the family's 2925-position model. The record is from RNAcentral.
GAAUACCCUCGGGGGUAGAGCACUGGAUGGGUAAUGGGGCCCCACAGGCUUACUGAUCCUAACCAAACUCCGAAUACCGGGGAGUAAUAUCUGGCAGACACACAGCGGAUGCUAACGUCCGUUGUGGAGAGGGAAACAACCCUGACCUCCAGCUAAGGCCCCUAAUUCAUGGCUAAGUGGGAAAGCAUGUGAGACGACCAAAACAACCAGGAUGUUGGCUUAGAAGCAGCCAUCAUUUAAAGAAAGCGUAACAGCUCACUGGUCUAGAUAAGUUAUCUUGCGGCGAAGAUGUAACGGGGCUCAAGCCAUGAGCCGAAGCUGAGGACAUCGUAAGAUGUGGUAGCGGAGCGUUCCGUGAUUAAACUCCUCCGAUUUUAGCACACUUAGUGUGCAUUAGUCGGAACGAGUUUUUCUGUGAAGCCGGGCUGUAAGGCAUCCGGUGGAGAGAUCGGAAGUGAGAAUGUUGACAUGAGUAGCGAUAAACAGGGUGAGAGACCCUGUCGCCGAAAGUCCAAGGGUUCCUGCUUAAAGUUAAUCUGAGCAGGGUAAGCCGACCCCUAAGGCGAGGCCGAAAGGCGUAGUCGAUGGGAACCAGGUUAAUAUUCCUGGGCCAGGAGGAAGUGACGGAUCACAGGUGUAGUAAGUCCUUAUUGGAUUGGGCUUGCUGCUGAGUGGUUCCUGGAAAUAGCCCUCCAUAUGAUCGUACCCUAAACCAACACAGGUGGACUGGUAGAGUAUACCAAGGCGCUUGAGAGAACUGCAUUGAAGGAACUCGGCAAAAUGCCUCCGUAAGGUCGCGAGAAGGAGGCCCCAUUCGUAGGCAACUAUGGGUGGGGGGCACAGACUAGGGGGUGGCGACUGUUUACUAAAAACACAGGGCUCUGCGAAGCCGCAAGGCGAAGUAUAGGGUCUGACGCCUGCCCGGUGCCGGAAGGUUAAGAGGAGGUGUGCAAGCACCGAAUUGAAGCCCCGGUAAACGGCGGCCGUAACUAUAACGGUCCUAAGGUAGCGAAAUUCCUUGUCGGGUAAGUUCCGACCUGCACGAAUGGCGUAACGACUUCCGCACUGUCUCAACCAGGGACUCAGCGAAAUUGAAUUGCCGGUGAAAAUGCCGGCUACCCGCGGCAAGACGGAAAGACCCCGUGAACCUUUACUACAGCUUGGCAGUGAUGUUUGAAUCAUUUUGUAGAGGAUAGGUGGGAGACUAUGAAGCGGGGGCGCUAGCCUUCGUGGAGUCAACCUUGGAAUACCACCCUGAAUCAUUUGAACAUCUAACCUAGGUCCGUGAAGCCGGACCAGGGACAUUGCCUGGUGGGUAGUUUGACUGGGGCGGUCGCCUCCCAAAAAGUAACGGAGGCGUGCGAAGGUAGGCUCAGAACGGUCAGAAAUCGUUCGUAGAGUGCAAUGGCAUAAGCCUGCCUGACUGUGAGACUGACAAGUCGAGCAGAGACGAAAGUCGGUCAUA